This is a non-coding RNA of Sus scrofa (pig), 6048 nucleotides long. NCBI's taxonomy places the organism in Eukaryota, Metazoa, Chordata, Mammalia, Artiodactyla, Suidae. The record is from RefSeq and is a predicted model, not a curated record.
UUGGAGAGGCUGGGCGUCCCAGGAUCAGGGUACUACCCUCAAGCUGUAGGAGGGAAGGCGAGCAGAGAAGAGCGCAGAGGGGAGGAAAGAAGAGGCCGAAGGCAGUCAAGUCCCCUAUCCCUGCACAGGCGACGCCGAGUGAGGCUGAGGUUGGGAGCGAAUCGCCGAAGAGCUGCGUGUCGGCAGCGCAGUCUGAUUGGACAGCGGAGAAGCCUGUCAGCUUAUUGGCCCCGCUGGUUCCGCCCCGUAGCGCAGGGCAGCCUUUAACCUUUGGCCCCAGUGGGCUCCAGCCACUCAGAUCGCUUCUUGUUGGUAUGUGUAGCGGCAGUGGCCGCCGGCGGAGCAGUCUGAGCCCGACGAUGAGGCCGGGGACGGGAGCUGAGCGAGGAGGCCUCAUGGUGAGUGAAAUGGAGAGCCAUCCUCCCUCGCGGGGUCCCGGGGACGGGGAGCGGAGAUUGUCCGGCUCAAGCCUCUGCUCCAGCUCUUGGGUCUCUGCUGACGGCUUCCUGAGGAGACGGCCCUCGAUGGGGCACCCUAGCAUGCAUUAUGCCCCAAUGGGAAUGCACCCUAUGGGUCAGAGAGCGAAUAUGCCUCCUGUACCUCAUGGAAUGAUGCCGCAAAUGAUGCCCCCUAUGGGAGGGCCACCAAUGGGACAAAUGCCUGGAAUGAUGUCUUCAGUAAUGCCUGGAAUGAUGAUGUCUCAUAUGUCUCAGGCUUCCAUGCAACCUGCUUUACCGCCAGGAGUAAAUAAUAUGGAUGUAGCAGCAGGUGCAACAUCAGGCGCCAAAUCAAUGUGGACUGAACAUAAGUCACCUGAUGGAAGGACCUACUACUAUAAUACUGAAACAAAGCAGUCUACUUGGGAGAAGCCAGAUGAUCUUAAAACCCCUGCCGAGCAACUUUUAUCUAAAUGCCCUUGGAAGGAAUACAAAUCUGACUCUGGAAAGCCUUACUAUUAUAAUUCUCAAACAAAAGAAUCCCGCUGGGCCAAACCUAAAGAACUUGAGGAUCUUGAAGGAUACCAGAAUACCAUUGUUGCUGGAAGUCUUAUUACAAAAUCAAACCUGCAUGCAAUGAUCAAAGCUGAAGAAAGCAGUAAACAAGAAGAGUGCACCACAACAUCAGCAGCCCCAGUUCCUACAACAGAAAUUCCAACCACAAUGAGCACCAUGGCUGCUGCAGAAGCGGCAGCUGCUGUUGUUGCGGCAGCAGCUGCAGCCGCAGCUGCAGCUGCUGCAGCCAAUGCCAGUGCUUCCACCUCUGCUUCUAGUACUGUCGGUGGAACUGUUCCAGUCGUUCCUGAGCCUGAGGUUACUUCGAUUGUUGCUACUGUUGUAGAUAAUGAAAAUACAGUAACAAUUUCGACUGAAGAACAAGCACAACUUACUAGUACCCCUGCUGUUCAGGAUCAAAGUGUUGAAGUGUCUAGUAAUACUGGAGAAGAAACAUCUAAGCAGGAAGCCGUAGCUGAUUUUACUCCUAAAAAAGAAGAGGAAGAAAACCAACCAGCAAAAAAAACAUAUACUUGGAAUACAAAGGAGGAAGCAAAGCAAGCAUUUAAAGAAUUACUGAAAGAAAAGCGGGUACCAUCAAAUGCUUCAUGGGAACAAGCUAUGAAAAUGAUUAUUAAUGACCCACGAUACAGUGCUUUAGCAAAGUUGAGUGAAAAGAAGCAGGCCUUUAAUGCUUAUAAAGUCCAGACAGAAAAAGAAGAAAAAGAAGAAGCAAGAUCCAAAUACAAAGAGGCUAAGGAAUCCUUUCAACGUUUUCUUGAAAAUCAUGAGAAAAUGACUUCUACAACUAGAUACAAAAAAGCAGAGCAAAUGUUUGGAGAGAUGGAAGUCUGGAAUGCAAUAUCAGAACGUGAUCGUCUUGAAAUCUAUGAAGAUGUUUUAUUCUUUCUUUCAAAAAAAGAAAAGGAGCAAGCAAAGCAGUUACGAAAAAGAAAUUGGGAAGCCUUAAAAAACAUACUUGACAACAUGGCUAAUGUGACAUAUUCUACUACUUGGUCCGAAGCCCAGCAGUAUCUGAUGGAUAAUCCAACUUUUGCAGAAGAUGAGGAAUUACAGAACAUGGAUAAAGAAGAUGCAUUAAUUUGCUUUGAAGAACACAUUCGGGCUUUAGAAAAGGAAGAAGAAGAAGAAAAACAGAAGAGUUUGCUGAGGGAAAGGAGACGACAGCGUAAAAAUAGAGAAUCUUUUCAGAUAUUUUUAGAUGAAUUGCAUGAACAUGGACAACUGCAUUCUAUGUCAUCUUGGAUGGAAUUAUAUCCAACAAUUAGUUCUGAUAUUAGAUUCACUAAUAUGCUUGGUCAGCCGGGAUCAACUGCACUUGACCUUUUCAAGUUUUAUGUUGAGGAUCUUAAAGCACGUUACCAUGAUGAGAAGAAGAUAAUAAAAGACAUUCUAAAGGAUAAAGGAUUUGUAGUUGAAGUAAAUACUACUUUUGAAGACUUUGUGGCAAUAAUCAGUUCAACAAAAAGAUCAACCACAUUAGAUGCAGGAAACAUUAAGUUAGCUUUCAAUAGUUUACUAGAAAAGGCAGAAGCCCGUGAACGUGAAAGGGAAAAAGAGGAGGCUCGGAAGAUGAAACGAAAAGAAUCGGCAUUUAAGAGUAUGUUGAAACAAGCAACUCCUCCAAUAGAAUUGGAUGCUGUCUGGGAAGAUGUAUGUAUGUUUUUAAAUUUUGCUGAUGAACUGCUUCCUUUACAAUUGAAGAUAAAAAUAGUUUUAAUUUAUUUCCUAUUUUAUAGCCACAGUGAUAAGCUGAAGUUAUUUGUAGAGUAUGAAGUCAGCUGUGACUGAAUUUAGGAAUACUAGAGGAAAGGAAAUAAAAACUUUAAGGAGAUGUGUCACAGUUUUACUUUGCCGUUUUUUGUUUGUUUUUAAUUGUGGCUUUGAGUUUGUUUUUGUGGGGUCGGGGGAGGGGCCAAGGCCAUCCUUGUGGCAUAUGGAAGUUCCCAGACCAGGGAUCAAAUCCAAGCCACAAGCCAUAGCACACCAGAUCCUUAACCUAUAGCCACAGCAGGAACUCCUUCAUUUGCUGUUUUGAUUACUUUUUUAGUCAUAUUAGUGUACUUUUCUCAGUAUUGAUACAUUUAUUCCAUAUCUGAAUUUUUCAGAUCCGGGAGAGAUUUGUAAAAGAGCCAGCGUUUGAGGAUAUAACUCUAGAAUCUGAAAGAAAACGAAUAUUUAAAGAUUUUAUGCAUGUGCUUGAGGUAAUUUUAGUAUUCUCAUAAAUGGCUAAAAUACUACAAAAUGUAUAAAAAUAAAAACAAAAACAGUAAUUUGGAAUGAUCCAAUUAUGUUUCUAAAAUUUAUUUAUUUAUACUGCAUUUAUUUAUACAGUGUAUUUACCUGGGAUGAUUAGGGAAUGGUUUCUUCUAUAAAAAUUGCCUUUUUUUUUUUUUUUUUUUUUUGCCAUUUCUUGGGCCACUGCCAUGGCAUAUAGAGUUUCCCCGGCUAGGGGUCGAAUCAGAGCUGUAGCUGCCUGCCUACACCAGAGCCACAGCAACGCAGGGUCCGAGCCUCGUCUGCGACCCACAGCACAGCUCACGGCAAUGCUGAAUCCUUAACCCACUGAGCAAGGCCAGGGAUCGAACCCACAACCUCAUGGUUCCUAGUUGGAUUCGUUAACCACUGAGCUACGACGGGAGCUCCAAAAUUACUUUUAAGUUAAACAAAGCUUGCAUAGGAAUUUAAAGAUCUGUUUGUGGAGAUUGUUCAUAUUUGUUUUAUAUUUUUACAGCGUUACAGAAAUUCAGCAAUUUAACACUCACAUGGGAUGACGACAGAUCCUAAGAGAAUUUAGAAUCUUGUAAAGUGGUCAGAAAACAGCUAUCAAGCACAUUUCAAGAAUUAUACUACAUUAGAUGUGUGGGAAGCUCAGGAAUAUUAGGUUUUUGUUAAAAUAAGUAAUGAUAAAAUUAUAGAUUACUAGAUGAUUUAAGGGUAUUUUGGUGAAGAUUUCACGUAGACACUAAUGGGGAAUAAGAAAUGUAAAUUGACCCAGUAAUUAUUGAGUAUUUGGUGCCUAUGUGGCCAGGCAUGUUCUAACUGUUUUACAAAUAUUGCAUAUGGACUUAAUCCUCACAACAAUCCUGUGAAGUUACAGAUGAGCUACCUGAGGCAAAGAGAAAAAAUUUGCAGGGAAGGGAUUCUAUCUAAUUCAGGCUUUUUGACUCAAAGGCCAAUGAUUUUUAACAAAUAAGCUUUCAGUUGUAGACAGAUAUUUUACAACAAGCUGAAAACUAGCACAUACUUAAUAUCAUAGUGCUGCAUAGUCAUUGGGCAGAGCAUAUCACUUAAUUGACUGUUGACUCUUUCAUUGGAUUUAUUGUUCUUGAUGAAUAUCAAUGUUGACAACAGUUUGCUCUGUUAACAUGCACCUACAUUACAGUAUAUUAUUGCUCAGCUGCCUGUAGAUCUUUUCUACCCGUAGUACAUUUCAGACCACCAACAUCUGCAUUACCUGGAAGCUUCUUAGAAAUAUUGAACCUUAGGUCCCAUCAGCAGAAGUCCUGUGUCAGAAUCGUCAUUUUAACAAGAUUGUCAAGCUUUAGAAUGUACAUUUAAUUUUGAAAAGCUCUGCUCUAGGUAGUGUCUUAACAUUUUCCCCCAAUUCAGGAGUCUCCAAAGAAGAGAAGUCUCUUUCGUGAUCUAUGCUGGGGGUAAUUGCUAAAUGGAGCUAAUGCCGGCACAUAGGGAAGGGCUGAACAUAUUAGGAUAGGUUUUGGACCCUAAUAAUAUGGGUCUCGAGGUAGAAAACGAAGGAGAGUUAACAUUCAGUAAUAUUAAAAAAAAGAAUAAGAGUCCCUGAACUAGAUUUUCCAUUUCCACUUGUAAACCAAAGCAGAAUUUAUUUUCAAAGCCUUAGGUAUGUUUGGGGGCAAGGAGCUUUUAUUGCUAUAUAUCCCCUUUCCUGCUAGCCUACUAAUUGUUACAGUAAAAUAGUUCAAGCCCACAGAUAUCACAUGAAACCAGAAAAGAAAAUGUUAAGUUAGAAUUAUUAAAUUGUCUUUGAAUGUCUUAAGUUUGAGUAGGAAGGGGAUACUUUUGGGUGAAAAGAAAGAGUAGAUUUUGCAUUUUAAUAUCUGAGACCAACUUCAGUGAAGUUCAAGGAUGUCUCUGGGGUGGUUCUUUAUCUCAGUGCUGAGCCUAGCUCACUAACCAAAACCACAUUCAUCAAGAAACCUAUGUUUCAAUGUAAUUGUAUUUCAUUGUUUUUGAAAGCAGUGUUAACUCUUCUGCAGAUUAUUCCUUUAUGGAGGGUAUCAAUUAUCCCUAUUGUACCCACACCAUUCUCAUUGCUACAAAAAGUAUUUUAAUAACAUCGUUGUGUUUAGAUGUCAAUUGAGUUGGGUAUGGGAUAGUUAAGAAGGAACAGAAGAGAACAUUUAGAUAAUAAUUCUUUGCACAGUUUCAUGGUUGGGAGUACAUUCUAAAUAAGCAAACUGAAGGCAUUUUUAUUCUAAAAUUACUUGUGAAGCUUUAAAAAGAUCUUAUGAUCUACUGUCUAAAGUGUGAACUCCUUGAAAUUUUUUUUCUUUCACUCCAUGUAGCAUGAAUGUCAACAUCAUCAUUCAAAGAACAAGAAACAUUCUAAGAAAUCUAAAAAACAUCACAGGAAACGUUCCCGCUCUCGAUCAGGGUCAGAUUCAGAUGAUGAUGACAGCCAUUCAAAGAAAAAAAGACAGAGAUCAGAGUCUCGCUCUGCUUCAGAACAUUCUUCUAGUGCUGAAUCUGAGAGAAGUUAUAAGAAAUCAAAAAAACAUAAGAAGAAAAGCAAGAAGAGAAGGCAUAAAUCUGACUCCCCAGAAUCAGAUGCUGAACGAGAGAAGGAUAAAAAAGAAAAAGACCGGGAAAGUGAAAAAGACAGAACUAGACAAAGAUCAGAAUCAAAACACAAAUCACCUAAGAAAAAGACUGGAAAGGAUUCUGGUAAUUGGGACACUUCUGGCAGUGAACUGAGUGAAGGGGAAUUAGAAAAGCGCAGAAGGACCCUUCUGGAGCAACUGGAUGAUGAUCAAUAAAUUAUACCAAAUAUGUU